This 511-nucleotide ribosomal RNA is filed under the name uncultured bacterium. RNAcentral's name for it is "partial 16S ribosomal RNA". It matches the Rfam family "Bacterial small subunit ribosomal RNA", at positions 28 to 523 of the family's 1533-position model. The record is from RNAcentral.
GACGAACGCUGGCGGCGUGCCUAAUACAUGCAAGUCGAGCGGAUGGAAGGAAGCUUGCUUCCUAAGUCAGCGGCGGACGGGUGAGUAACACGUGGGCAACCUGCCCCUAAGAUCGGGAUAACUUCGGGAAACCGGAGCUAAUACCGGAUAUGAUUAUGUCUCACAUGAGACAUAAUGGAAAGACGGUUUCGGCUGUCACUUAGGGAUGGGCCCGCGGCGCAUUAGCUAGUUGGUGAGGUAACGGCUCACCAAGGCGACGAUGCGUAGCCGACCUGAGAGGGUGAUCGGCCACACUGGGACUGAGACACGGCCCAGACUCCUACGGGAGGCAGCAGUAGGGAAUCUUCCGCAAUGGACGAAAGUCUGACGGAGCAACGCCGCGUGAGUGAAGAAGGUUUUCGGAUCGUAAAACUCUGUUGUUGGGGAAGAACAAGUACCAUAGUAACUGAUGGUACCUUGACGGUACCUAACCAGAAAGCCACGGCUAACUACGUGCCAGCAGCCGCCGUAA